GCCGCGAAUUCGCCCUUAGAGUUUGAUCAUGGCUCAGGAUGAACGCUAGCGGCAGGCCUAAUACAUGCAAGUCGAACGGUAAGAUCUCGCUUGCGAGAUACACGAGUGGCGAACGGGUGCGUAACGCGUAUGCAACCUACCUUCAACUGGAGAAUAGCCCCGAGAAAUCGGGAUUAAUACUCCAUAACAUCCAUUUAUCACAUGAUUUUUGGAUUAAAGUUCCAACGGUUGAAGAUGGGCAUGCGUGACAUUAGUUUGUUGGUGAGGUAACGGCUCACCAAGACUACGAUGUCUAGGGGUUCUGAGAGGAUUUCCCCCCACACUGGUACUGAGACACGGACCAGACUCCUACGGGAGGCAGCAGUAAGGAAUAUUGGUCAAUGGACGAAAGUCUGAACCAGCCAUGCCGCGUGCAGGAUGACAGCCCUACGGGUUGUAAACUGCUUUUAUACGGGAAGAAUCCCCUGUACGUGUACAGGGUUGACGGUACCGUACGAAUAAGCAUCGGCUAACUCCGUGCCAGCAGCCGCGGUAAUACGGAGGAUGCAAGCGUUAUCCGGAUUCAUUGGGUUUAAAGGGUGCGUAGGCGGAAUGAUAAGUUAGUGGUGAAAGCCCCCGGCUCAACCGGGGAACUGCCAUU
Molecule: ribosomal RNA, 640 nt
Filed under: uncultured bacterium
Lineage: Bacteria
Description: partial 16S ribosomal RNA
Rfam family: Bacterial small subunit ribosomal RNA
Source: RNAcentral